RNAcentral lists this small RNA (68 nucleotides) under Arabidopsis thaliana (thale cress). RNAcentral's name for it is "ATSL254600". Lineage: Eukaryota; Viridiplantae; Streptophyta; Magnoliopsida; Brassicales; Brassicaceae. The record is from RNAcentral.
AGAGAUGCUCUAAUUUUAUAUUGGCUCCACCUAUCCAUCAAUAAACAUACAGCUCUUGACAAAAAAAA